Molecule: ribosomal RNA, 500 nt
Filed under: uncultured bacterium
Lineage: Bacteria
Description: bacterial SSU rRNA
Rfam family: Bacterial small subunit ribosomal RNA
Source: RNAcentral
GGCUCAGGAUGAACGCUAGCUACAGGGCCUUAAACACAUGCAAGUCGAGGGGAAACGAUAGAGAAAGCUUGCUUUUCUAGGCGUCGACCGGCGCACGGGUGAGUAACGCGUAUCCAACCUGCCCAUCACUUGGGGAUAACCUUGCGAAAGUAAGACUAAUACCCAAUGACGUCUCUAGAAGACAUCUGAAGGAGAUUAAAGAUUUAUCGGUGAUGGAUGGGGAUGCGUCUGAUUAGCUUGUUGGCGGGUAACGGCCCACCAAGGCGACGAUCAGUAGGGGUUCUGAGAGGAAGGCCCCCCACAUUGGAACUGAGACAUGGUCCAAACUCCUACGGGAGGCAGCAGUGAGGAAUAUUGGUCAAUGGACGAGAGUCUGAACCAGCCAAGUAGCGUGCAGGAUGACGGCCCUAUGGGUUGUAAACUGCUUUUAUAAGGGAAUAAAGUGAGUCUCGUGAGACUUUUUGCAUGUACCUUAUGAAUAAGGACCGGCUAAUUCCGUG